Molecule: ribosomal RNA, 253 nt
Filed under: uncultured bacterium
Lineage: Bacteria
Description: partial 16S ribosomal RNA
Rfam family: Bacterial small subunit ribosomal RNA
Source: RNAcentral
CACGAAGGGGGCUAGCGUUGCUCGGAAUCACUGGGCGUAAAGGGUGCGUAGGCGGGUCUUUAAGUCAGGGGUGAAAUCCUGGAGCUCAACUCCAGAACUGCCUUUGAUACUGGAGAGCUAGAGUCCGGAAGAGGUGAGUGGAACUGCGAGUGUAGAGGUGAAAUUCGUAGAUAUUCGCAAGAACACCAGUGGCGAAGGCGGCUCACUGGUCCGGUACUGACGCUGAGGUGCGAAAGCGUGGGGAGCAAACAGG